Molecule: long non-coding RNA, 2107 nt
Filed under: Nicotiana benthamiana
Lineage: Eukaryota; Viridiplantae; Streptophyta; Magnoliopsida; Solanales; Solanaceae
Description: long non-coding RNA (NBEN_LNC033704)
Source: RNAcentral
CUGAGUCAGAGUAAAUGAGCUGCCAAACAAAUUAAUCUUCUGCAACAAAAUCACUCAAAUGAAUCAAAGGGGAAAAAUCAAGCAUCAGAAUUGCACAAAGAAAAAAGGUACUAACAAUUUAUCAAUCAAAUUCCACGCUCAAGAUUCUAGCCAAAAAACAAUCGAGAAAAUCUUCAAAAACCCAAAUAAACAAAGGCAAAAAUAUAAUCAAUAAACCUGGAAAAGGAGUCUUACCAAAAAAGGAAAAAAUUGAUUCUCGAUACAUACAUAAAACAUAUAUCAAGAGUGAAAGUAGAAAGAGCAAAAGUUCAAUCCAAAAUCAAAAGGGUCACUCACCAAAGAUUAUAGAAGGCCAAAAUUUGCAAAGGCGUGAACUCCAUUUCUUGCAUUUUGCACAACAUUUGGCACGAGCUCUGAGUACUCUUUUUUCUUCUGCUGCCAACACUGAAUAAGUUUGGACUCUUUAUAUAGGGUCACUGACUAACGUGGGUUAACCUUGUUCUAACACUUACUUGAUGAUAACCAGGGUUAGUUGGUGCAGUGUAUAAUGUAUUUUUCUGUUGUGGAUUGUGUAGUCUUUAAUUUCAAACUCAUCUAAAGAUUAAAUUUUAAACUGUACAAUUUAAGUAACUUCUCCAUUUUUAAGGAUAUAUUAUGUUAUAAUCAUCAAUUAUUAACCAUAUAAAGAGAAAUAAUAACACUAACUAUCCAUGUGGGCAAUGUGAAAAUCUUAAAUAUUUGGGAUUUUAAGUCAAAGAAUGAUAAUACAUCAUCAAAUUCAUAGAAUCUACCUAGUCUUAGACAAGAAGGGUUGCUAUGAUGGUAAGCAACCCCCACUUCCAACCGAGAGGUUGUGAGUUCGAGUCUCCCCAAGAGCAAGGUAGGAAGUUCUUGGAGGGCUAUGAUGGUAAGCAACCCCCACUUCCAACCGAGAGGUUGUGAGUUCGAGUCUCCCCAAGAGCAAUGUGGAAAGUUCUUGAAGGGAAGCAUGUCGGAUUUCUAUUUGAAAACAGUCUCUCUACCCAAGGGUAGGGUUAAGGUCUGCGUACAUAUUAUCCUCCCAGACCUCACUAAGUGAGAUUAUGGGUUGUUGUUGUUGUUGUUUGCCUAGUCUUACUUGGAUAUUGCAAAUUAGAUUAAUUAUAUAGUAAGAUGAUAAUGGCAAACCAAACAUAAUGUGUCAAUGGUGUUGUACCACAUGUUACAAUAGUUUUAUGCAUAUUUCGCAAUAACAGUGACUUCUGCUUUGAUAUUAUCAAUUCUAUAAGUAGCUUACAUUGACUUAUCUCGACCAACAAAUAACUUUACUUUGAGCAUAUGUUUAAAACUAAAAAUAAAUAGAUAAAAUAUAUUAUUCGAGUUGUUACAUAUUUCCAGACCCCACUUUGUAGGACUAUACUGGGUAAUUGUUGUUGUUGUUAUACAUAACAAUCAAUAGUGCAAUAUAGUAAGACAUACAUGGACUAGGGGAAAUAGAUACAUUGCAAGCAUUACGAUUGAGAUUAGGGAUACUAAUUUGUGGUUUGGCGUGAAUAAGUGAAAAGUUGCACUAAUCUUCCUAACAAAUGUGCACAAAUAGGAAUUGAGCUAUUUAUGAUUGACAUAAGUUUAAGCAUUGUUUAAGGAAGUGAUUAAAAAAAUGUAACUAAAAGAAUUAAUAGCAUGUAACUUUAUGGAAGUUGUACUUUGGUUGAGUUUGCUAUGGUCCAGCUUAGUCAAUCGUUCUCGUGUCGUUGAUCACCUUAAAUAUGUUACGAAUUCGAAAUGUUCAGCUUUAAGUUCAUAUAAUAUGUCGUAGUCAAGCAUAGUCACUUCUUAAUAUACUCAUUAGUCGUGAAGUCAAUUUCUAAGACAAGUCAAAACUUAAGCAACAAAACUUCACCUUAUUUUAUUUAUGGGAAAAAAGGAUCAGAACUGCCCCUAAAGUAUUGACUCCAGUUUAAAAAUAUCCUCCGUUAACCUAUUUUGAAAAAAAUGCCCCUACCGUUAAAAAUUUGGCAUAUUUAUGCCUAUAAGUCUAACAACUGACUGUACUUAUAUUUAAAACGGUAUGAGCAUUUUUUUCAAAAUAGGUUAACGGUAGGGGCAUUUUUAAACUGGAGUCAAU